CCUCCCGCUGAGCAAAGGGCGCUCAGAAGUCUAUUCUUGAAAACGGGCAGCUGUGUAUAAAGAAGCCUUGAAGACAGACGGCUGCUCCGUUCAUCAAAAUCUUGUUUGCAGCUGAUGUUCUAGUUUAAUGGCUCUGAAAGACACGAGAAAACACCCUUCGGCGCAGGACAGUUCUGAAAAACAUUCAUUAGGGAAUGAGCGUUUUAACACCCCUGCCAUCUGUGAGGGAGAAAAAAAUUCCAGUUUUAAAAAAUAGAAUCAAAGAAGAGGGGACCUUCAGUUCCAUUGAUUUCAUCUCUUCUGUUCCGGCCCCAGCAGAGUCACAGAGCUUCAACGGGGAUGCACCACACCACAGAGCAGGGGCUACAUCUCCUGCCUUAUUUCAGAGUCUCGCUUUAAACCCUUUCAGCCUGCACGCAUCUUCCCUCAGUUAUAAAAACGUAACAAAGCAGGCAAGCGAGCUGCCAAGUUUCGUCGAGGUAAAUGAUAUAUUAAAAAGCUCACCAGCCACUUGUUUCAACAUCUGGUCACUUCGCGCCGAGCUGUCAUCGUAGUGUUCGAAAAGUGAGAACGCGGCAGGCAUGUUCUCUAAGGAAGCUGUGCUCUCCAUGGCAGACAGCAGCCUGACAAGGGAACAGAACGCUACUCAGUCGGGCAAGCAUGAACACAGAACCAAAACAGUCUUCCUGCUCAGCCUGCAGCUGGUGAGGGUAACUGGUUUGUAUGAGGCAAGGGCCUGCCAACCCCUAGGGCUUCCAAAAGCAUAGGAAAUUAGACAUCUGGAGCCCAUUUCUUCUUAGAUACCUGAUGAUAGUAGGGGUCUUGUCCCUGGGCUCUCAAAUUUGAAAAGUUUCAAGUUAUCUAGACUUUCGGUUCCUAUCUAAUAAAUCAGUCCUAAAAUUUUGCU
Long non-coding RNA from Mus musculus (house mouse), 907 nucleotides. RefSeq annotates it as predicted gene 4814. NCBI's taxonomy places the organism in Eukaryota, Metazoa, Chordata, Mammalia, Rodentia, Muridae. The transcript has 3 exons. The record is from RefSeq and is marked validated.